This 377-nucleotide ribosomal RNA is filed under the name Scuticociliatia sp. Its description in RNAcentral is "partial small subunit ribosomal RNA". It matches the Rfam family "Eukaryotic small subunit ribosomal RNA", at positions 582 to 975 of the family's 1831-position model. Lineage: Eukaryota; Ciliophora; Oligohymenophorea. The record is from RNAcentral.
AUUCCAGCUCCAAUAGCGUAUAUUAAAGUUGUUGCAGUUAAAAAGCUCGUAGUUGAACUUCUGCAUACCUUCAGUUCUGGCUCCGGUCAAGCUGAUGCGUGCGCAUCCGCUUGCAAACCCGGACCGGCCUUCACUGGUCGACCGGGGGAGUAAGCCCUUUACUUUGAAAAAAUUAGAGUGUUUCAGGCAGGCAAUGGCUCGAAUACUUUAGCAUGGAAUAAUGGAAUAGGACUUUUGUCCAUUUGGUUGGUUAUUGGACAUGAGUAAUGAUUAAAAGGGACAGUUGGGGGCAUUAGUAUUUAAUUGUCAGAGGUGAAAUUCUUGGAUUUAUUAAAGACUAACUUAUGCGAAAGCAUUUGCCAAGGAUGUUUUCAUCA